RNA transcript from Octodon degus (degu), 504 nucleotides. It is a transcript of the gene named galectin-1-like, with no coding region annotated. The transcript has a single exon. NCBI's taxonomy places the organism in Eukaryota, Metazoa, Chordata, Mammalia, Rodentia, Octodontidae. The record is from RefSeq and is a predicted model, not a curated record.
ACAGCUGGUGCAGCAAUGUCUGAAACAUCCUCUUGGCCUCAAUCAUGGCUCAUGGUCUGGUCACCAGCAGUCUGAACCUCAAACCUGGGGAGUGCCUCAGAGUGAAGGUGAGGUGGCCCCCGACGCCAAGAGCUUCAUGCUGAACCUGGGCAAAGACAGCCACAACCUGUGCCUGCACUUCAACCCUCACUUCAAUGUGCACAGGGACGCCAACAUCAUGGUGUGCAACAGCAAGGACGGUGGUGCCUGCGGGGCGGAGCACUGUGAGCCGGCCCUCCCCUUCCAGCCUGGGAACGUGGUGGAGGUCUGCGUCUCCUCUGACUAGGCUGACUUGACUGUCACACUGCCAGAUGGACACCAAUUCAAGUUCCCCAACCCGCUCAGCCUGGAGGCCAUCAACUACUUGGCAGCUUAUGGUGACUUCAAGAUCAAAUGUGUGGCCUUUGAGUGAAGCCUCCCAGCCCAUUGUCACCAAUAAAGGCAGCUGCCUCUGCUCCCCCUGAA